GAGUGGAGGGGGGAAAUGCUUAUUUUUCUCUAUUUUUCCACAACUAAAAUGUUCAUACCACUUCCAAAUGCAUGUGGGUUGUUGGAGCUUCACACAAUAAGAGGAAAAGUUAUUACUCGAGCCAUUUGGAUGAAGAGAGAAUUCAUGUCUCCAUAACUGUAAUCUCUCUAAGGUAAUGAAGGUAAUGAAGGCAAUUUCACACAAGGUAAUGAAGGUAAUGUGCAGAAAGGUCUUCAAAUUUCAAAUAUUUUUCUUAAUUGGUGACAGCUUGGCCAUGAUCGCGAAUGGUUUCCAUAACCGCGUGACGAACGAGUGAGAUGCACAGGCAAAACACUUGCGCAUGAUCUUCAAGAUGCGCAAUCGAUUACCAAAAUCGGCCAAUUUUGCACACCUAAAUUUCUCAGCAACAGACACCGAUCCUAGCUUAUAUAAAUCAUUCCUGAAAGAUCCUCCCAGUAAAUACCCUCAAGCACCUUUUUACACC
Molecule: long non-coding RNA, 484 nt
Filed under: Phoenix dactylifera (date palm)
Lineage: Eukaryota; Viridiplantae; Streptophyta; Magnoliopsida; Arecales; Arecaceae
Description: long non-coding RNA (PDAC_LNC002197)
Source: RNAcentral